AUGUGUUCCCUGGACUUUGGAUUUCCCAGCCUCCAAAAUUUGUUCCAGCAGAGCAACUGGGGAACCUAAUUCUGACCAACAAGGAAGAAUUGCUUGGCUAAUUGGAAGUGACAGAAACCUUGGGAGAAAACAACCACAUACCAAGGAUAAUUAUAAGAAAGUAACAUGGACCCUAAAGGAUAGUGUCAAGAAACCUGAAGCCACCAAAUGAGACAGAAGACACAGAGAAGAGGAGGAAGCAGUGUGACCAUGGAGGCAGAGACUGGAGUAAUGUGGCCACAAAUCAAGGAAUGUGAAAGCCUCCAGAAGCUGCAGGAGGCUGUGAACAACUUCUUCCUUAGAUCCUACAGAGGAAGUACAGCCGUGCUGACACCUUGAUUUCAGAUUUCUGGCCUUAGAACUGCAUCCCCUUGGAAUGCAGUGUUUAUGGAAAACAGUAUGGUUGUUUCUCAAACAACUACAACUAGGACUACCAUAUGAUCCAGCAAUCUCACUACU
Long non-coding RNA from Galeopterus variegatus (Sunda flying lemur), 498 nucleotides. RefSeq lists it as uncharacterized. The record is from RefSeq and is a predicted model, not a curated record. The transcript has 4 exons. Lineage: Eukaryota; Metazoa; Chordata; Mammalia; Dermoptera; Cynocephalidae.